Molecule: ribosomal RNA, 324 nt
Filed under: Aspergillus sp. BAB-3853
Lineage: Eukaryota; Fungi; Ascomycota; Eurotiomycetes; Eurotiales; Aspergillaceae
Description: eukaryotic LSU rRNA
Rfam family: 5.8S ribosomal RNA (bases 1-99)
Source: RNAcentral
CGAUACUUGGUGUGAAUUGCAGAAUUCAGUGAAUCAUCGAGUCUUUGAACGCACAUUGCGCCCCCUGGUAUUCCGGGGGGCAUGCCUGUCCGAGCGUCAUUGCUGCCCUCAAGCACGGCUUGUGUGUUGGGCCCCGUCCCCUCCCCCGGGGACGGGCCCGAAAGGCAGCGGCGGCACCGCGUCCGGUCCUCGAGCGUAUGGGGCUUUGUCACCCGCUCUGUAGGCCCGGCCGGCGCCAGCCGACACCCAACUUUAUUUUCUAAGGUUGACCUCGGAUCAGGUAGGGAUACCCGCUGAACUUAAGCAUAUCAAUAAGCGGAGGAA